Molecule: long non-coding RNA, 1301 nt
Filed under: Capra hircus (goat)
Lineage: Eukaryota; Metazoa; Chordata; Mammalia; Artiodactyla; Bovidae
Description: lncRNA (ENSCHIG00010004284.1)
Source: RNAcentral
CCACAGGAAUAUGACAUAAAAAAUACAACACAAGGAAACUAGUAGAACCUUACCCAUUAGGGAUUUUGCCUCAGUUAGGUCUCUUAGGCCCACUUGAACCACGUUACAACUCUACCUUAACAAAAAUUUUUUUAAAACCUCAACUACAUAGAAUGAGAUAAUUCCUCUCCUCGAUUCAUGAGACACUGUUCACAUUUUUCUUGCAAAGCCCCCUUUUUUGUUUGAUUUUACUUAUUCCUUCAGCUUCUCUUCAAUUUCCUUCUCUCCUAUAUGCAACCACAUGUCUUUCCAGUCAGCCUUUUUUAUAUGUAUUUAGCAACACACACAUCUGUAAAAAAUAUAUAAUGUGGAAAGAAAUAAAUAUAUACAGUGUUUUUUAAACUUGUAUCAGUUGCAUUAUGCUAUACAUCUCAUUCUUUUUUCUCUAAUUUUGUUUCUUUUGAGUUGUAAAAAGACAUAAAUCUAGUUCAUUACAUUUGAUUGCUAUGCGGUAUUCCAUCUCAAGGCAUAUACCACAUUUCACUUUAAGAUUUCUCUUAGAAUGAAAACACAANNNNNNNNNNNNNNNNNNNNNNNNNNNNNNNNNUACAGUGAAUGUUGUCAUACAUGCCUUUUGUGGACCCAUGUGUGCAAGCCUGUUAACUAGACAGCCUAAAUGAUUCAUGCCCUUGUGUAAUCCCUUCCCACGCUGUAUCAGGUUUCACCUGUGUGACCAACAUAAUAUGGCAGAGUGAUGUGUGAAUUCCCAGACUAGGUCAUAAAUACCCUGCUGUUUCCACCUUGUUCUCUCGGAUCACUUACUUCUGGUAAAGCCAUCUACUGUAUUGUGAGGACACCGUAGCAGCCCUUUGGGACAGCGAACAACUAAUGCCAACGUGAGACCCAUUUGACAACAGUUUCUUAGAAGGAUCCUUCAGCUCCAGUUAAACAAAUGACAGGAGCCCCAGCCAGCAUUUGGACUGCAGCUUCACAAGAGACCCUGAUACCCUCCUGAAUUCCUGACCCAUAGCAACUGUGGAAUAAUAAAUGUUUAUUAUUGUUUUAAGCCACACAGUUUAAAGUAAUUUGUUACACAGCAAUAGAUAACAACAACAACGAAAAUAGUUAACAGACUGUGAGAGUUUCUCUAGGAUCUGUACAUAGGGGAGAAUGCCCGAGUUGUUAGGUAGGUGCACACUUACUUUCCAUGCUGUUGGCAUACCACCCUCCAGGUGACUGUGCCAGUUUACUUCCCUAGCAGUAGAAAAAAAUUCUUCCCACACUUCUCACCCAGUAUUCAGUAUUUGUUUGUUUGGAUUCAG